UACGUAGGGUGCAAGCGUUGUCCGGAAUUAUUGGGCGUAAAGAGCGUGUAGGCGGUCCGGUAAGUCAGCUGUGAAAGUCAAGGGCUCAACCCUUGAAUGCCGGUUGAUACUGUCGGGCUAGAGUCCGGAAGAGGCGAGUGGAACUCCCGGUGUAGCGGUGAAAUGCGCAGAUAUCGGGAGGAACACCAAUGGCGAAGGCAGCUCGCUGGGACGGUACUGACGCUGAGACGCGAAAGCGUGGGGAGCAAACAGG
This 253-nucleotide ribosomal RNA is filed under the name uncultured bacterium. Its description in RNAcentral is "partial 16S ribosomal RNA". It matches the Rfam family "Bacterial small subunit ribosomal RNA", at positions 524 to 776 of the family's 1533-position model. The record is from RNAcentral.